This 451-nucleotide ribosomal RNA is filed under the name uncultured bacterium. Its description in RNAcentral is "partial 16S ribosomal RNA". It matches the Rfam family "Bacterial small subunit ribosomal RNA", at positions 354 to 796 of the family's 1533-position model. The record is from RNAcentral.
GUGGGGAAUAUUGGACAAUGGGGGGAACCCUGAUCCAGCCAUGCCGCGUGUGUGAAGAAGGCCUUUUGGUUGUAAAGCACUUUAAGCGAGGAGGAGGCUACCGAGAUUAAUACUCUUGGAUAGUGGACGUUACUCGCAGAAUAAGCACCGGCUAACUCUGUGCCAGCAGCCGCGGUAAUACAGAGGGUGCAAGCGUUAAUCGGAUUUACUGGGCGUAAAGCGCGCGUAGGUGGCCAAUUAAGUCAAAUGUGAAAUCCCCGAGCUUAACUUGGGAAUUGCAUGCGAUACUGGUUGGCUAGAGUAUGGGAGAGGAUGGUAGAAUUCCAGGUGUAGCGGUGAAAUGCGUAGAGAUCUGGAGGAAUACCGAUGGCGAAGGCAGCCAUCUGGCCUAAUACUGACACUGAGGUGCGAAAGCAUGGGGAGCAAACAGGAUUAGAUACCCCGGUAGUCC